RNAcentral lists this ribosomal RNA (249 nucleotides) under uncultured prokaryote. RNAcentral's name for it is "partial 16S ribosomal RNA". It matches the Rfam family "Bacterial small subunit ribosomal RNA", at positions 524 to 772 of the family's 1533-position model. The record is from RNAcentral.
UACGGAGGAUGCGAGCGUUAUCCGGAUUUAUUGGGUUUAAAGGGUGCGUAGGCGGCCGAGUAAGUCAGCGGUGAAAUUUUGCAGCUUAACUGUAACAGUGCCGUUGAUACUGCAUGGCUAGGAUUUGGUUGCUGUGGGUGGAAUGUGUGGUGUAGCGGUGAAAUGCUUAGAUAUCACACAGAAUAUCAAUUGCGAAGGCAGCUCACAAAGCCAAGAUUGACGCUGAGGCACGAAGGCGUGGGGAUCAAA